UACGUAGGGGGCGAGCGUUGUCCGGAAUCAUUGGGCGUAAAGCGCAUGUAGGCGGCCAUGUUAGUCGGAUGUGAAAUCCCGAGGCUCAACCUCGGAACUGCACUCGAUACUGCAUGGCUUGAGGAAGGUAGAGGAGAGUGGAAUUCCCGGUGUAGCGGUGGAAUGCGCAGAUAUCGGGAGGAACACCAGCGGCGAAGGCGGCUCUCUGGGCCUCUCCUGACGCUGAGAUGCGAAAGCGUGGGUAG
This 245-nucleotide ribosomal RNA is filed under the name uncultured Nitriliruptor sp. RNAcentral describes it as "partial 16S ribosomal RNA". It matches the Rfam family "Bacterial small subunit ribosomal RNA", at positions 524 to 768 of the family's 1533-position model. Lineage: Bacteria; Bacillati; Actinomycetota; Nitriliruptoria; Nitriliruptorales; Nitriliruptoraceae. The record is from RNAcentral.